GGGAAGAGCUCAAAUUUGAAAUCUGGUGGCCUCAGGUCAUCCGAGUUGUAAUCUAUAGAAGUGUUUUCCGUGCUGGCUCAUGUACAAGUCCCUUGGAACAGGGCGUCAUAGAGGGUGAGAAUCCCGUCCUUGACAUGAACUACCAGUGCUCUGUGAUACAUUUUCAACGAGUCGAGUUGUUUGGGAAUGCAGCUCAAAAUGGGUGGUAAAUUCCAUCUAAAGCUAAAUAUUGGCGAGAGACCGAUAGCGAACAAGUACCGUGAGGGAAAGAUGAAAAGCACUUUGGAAAGAGAGUUAAACAGUAUGUGAAAUUGUUGAAAGGGAAACGAUUGAAGUCAGUCGUGCUCUUUGGAUUCAGCCGGUUCUGCCGGUGUACUUCCUUUGAGUGGGGUCAACAUCAGUUUUGAUCGCUGGAUAAAGGCGGGAGGAAUGUAGUACCCUCGGGUAAACUUAUAGCCUCUUGUCACAUACAGUGGUUGGGACUGAGGAACGCAGCAUGCCUUUAUGGCCGGGAUUCGUCCACGUACAUGCUUAGGAUGUUGACAUAAUGGCUUUAAACGACCCGUCUUGAA
This 572-nucleotide ribosomal RNA is filed under the name Filobasidium oeirense. RNAcentral's name for it is "partial large subunit ribosomal RNA". It matches the Rfam family "Eukaryotic large subunit ribosomal RNA", at positions 100 to 658 of the family's 3401-position model. Lineage: Eukaryota; Fungi; Basidiomycota; Tremellomycetes; Filobasidiales; Filobasidiaceae. The record is from RNAcentral.